This 452-nucleotide ribosomal RNA is filed under the name uncultured Eubacteriales bacterium. Its description in RNAcentral is "bacterial SSU rRNA". It matches the Rfam family "Bacterial small subunit ribosomal RNA", at positions 933 to 1382 of the family's 1533-position model. Lineage: Bacteria; Bacillati; Bacillota; Clostridia; Eubacteriales. The record is from RNAcentral.
CGGAGCAUGUGGUUUAAUUCGAAGCAACGCGAAGAACCUUACCAGGGCUUGACAUGCCGCUGACCGGUGCAGAGAUGCAUCUUUAUCCUUCGGGGUACAGCGGACACAGGUGGUGCAUGGUUGUCGUCAGCUCGUGUCGUGAGAUGUUGGGUUAAGUCCCGCAACGAGCGCAACCCUUGUCUUUAGUUGCCAUCAUUAAGUUGGGCACUCUAAAGAGACUGCCGAUGACAAAUCGGAGGAAGGUGGGGAUGACGUCAAAUCAUCAUGCCCUUUAUGUCCUGGGCUACACACGUGCUACAAUGGUCGGUACAACGAGAAGCAAGCCAGCGACGGCAAGCAAAUCUCUAAAAGCCGAUCCCAGUUCGGAUUGCAGGCUGCAACUCGCCUGCAUGAAGCCGGAAUCGCUAGUAAUCGCGGAUCAGCAUGCCGCGGUGAAUACGUUCCCGGGCCUU